This 424-nucleotide ribosomal RNA is filed under the name uncultured Fluviicola sp. RNAcentral describes it as "bacterial SSU rRNA". It matches the Rfam family "Bacterial small subunit ribosomal RNA", at positions 355 to 776 of the family's 1533-position model. The record is from RNAcentral. Lineage: Bacteria; Pseudomonadati; Bacteroidota; Flavobacteriia; Flavobacteriales; Crocinitomicaceae.
UGAGGAAUAUUGGUCAAUGGGCGCAAGCCUGAACCAGCCAUGCCGCGUGCAGGAAGAAUGCCCUAUGGGUUGUAAACUGCUUUUAUUUAGGAAUAAACUCCCCAACGUGUUGGGGCCUGAAGGUACUAAAUGAAUAAGCACCGGCUAACUCCGUGCCAGCAGCCGCGGUAAUACGGAGGGUGCAAGCGUUAUCCGGAAUCAUUGGGUUUAAAGGGUCCGCAGGCGGAUUUAUAAGUCAGUGGUGAAAGCCUAUCGCUUAACGAUAGAACUGCCAUUGAUACUGUAAGUCUUGAAUUCGGUCGGAGUGGGCGGAAUGUGUAGUGUAGCGGUGAAAUGCAUAGAUAUUACACAGAACACCGAUAGCGAAGGCAGCUCACUAGGCCUGAAUUGACGCUCAUGGACGAAAGCGUGGGGAGCAAACAGG